CUUUAAAUAAGGUUAAAAACACCAAAUUCGCUAUAUGGGACAUGACCUUGACCUUUGACCUUUUGACCUUUGUCAAGGUCAUUAGUCCCCAAUGUCAUUGCUGAAGACCCCAUGGGUCUAGGACCUUUGGUUAUAUAGUAAAAGCUGAUUUUGUCUUUCCAGAAACCUAAAACAGGUGUUAUGCCCCUUAAAAAAGGUCAAAUCUCUUCGGUCAAAAUGUAACAAAGUUGUGCCGUAAUGACCCAAACAUUUUCCACUAUUUAAAACUUCUGUAAGUAUAAUGGUUUCUGAGAUUAUCCCAUAACAAGGUGUUAGGUCAAAGGUCAAGGUCAACAUACAAAUUUGACCUUGAGGUAUUUUUCAAAGAUACAUAAAUUGAUGAUGAUUGGUGAAGAUCCUAGGUGUCUACGACUUACGGUUUCUGAGUUUUGGUGGUCAACCGACACCGGUUAAUUUUCAUAGGGGCAUAACCCUACCAAUGAGUCGUUGAAUCUUUUCGAUCCAAAUGUAACGAAGAACCAGGGUCUGGUCCUGAACAAAUUUCACCCUUUGUUUUUUUUCUACCUAUUACGGUUACGGUGUUGGAACGAUAACAAGGUUUUUGGGUUUCGGAGGGAUUACUCCGAACCGACAAAAUAUUUUCGACUCACAGGGUGAGUUCCGGAUAGGUAUUCAUUACACCGAUACAAAGUGUGAACAUGAAAGCGACACGUCUUACGGUUACGGAGGCUAACUUCGUCAAAGUUUG
This 748-nucleotide long non-coding RNA is filed under the name Mytilus galloprovincialis (Mediterranean mussel). The record is from RNAcentral. Lineage: Eukaryota; Metazoa; Mollusca; Bivalvia; Mytilida; Mytilidae.